GCUGGCGGCGUGCCUAAUACAUGCAAGUCGAGCGAAGAGAUGGGAGCUUGCUCCCUGAUCUUAGCGGCGGACGGGUGAGUAACACGUGGGCAACCUGCCCUGCAGACUGGGAUAACUCCGGGAAACCGGAGCUAAUACCGGGUAAUACAUCGCACCGCAUGGUGCAAUGUUGAAAGUUGGCUUUCGAGCUAACACUGCAGGAUGGGCCCGCGGCGCAUUAGCUAGUUGGUAAGGUAAUGGCUUACCAAGGCGACGAUGCGUAGCCGACCUGAGAGGGUGAUCGGCCACACUGGGACUGAGACACGGCCCAGACUCCUACGGGAGGCAGCAGUAGGGAAUCUUCCGCAAUGGACGAAAGUCUGACGGAGCAACGCCGCGUGAGUGACGAAGGCCUUCGGGUCGUAAAGCUCUGUUGUUAGGGAAGAACAAGUACCGUUCGAAUAGGGCGGUACCUUGACGGUACCUAACCAGAAAGCCACGGCUAACUACGUGCCAGCAGCCGCGGUAAUAC
RNAcentral lists this ribosomal RNA (511 nucleotides) under uncultured marine bacterium. RNAcentral describes it as "bacterial SSU rRNA". It matches the Rfam family "Bacterial small subunit ribosomal RNA", at positions 35 to 526 of the family's 1533-position model. The record is from RNAcentral.